This is a non-coding RNA of Macaca mulatta (Rhesus monkey), 1833 nucleotides long. The record is from RefSeq and is a predicted model, not a curated record. NCBI's taxonomy places the organism in Eukaryota, Metazoa, Chordata, Mammalia, Primates, Cercopithecidae.
AGACUCAGUCUCAAAAAAAAAAAUUACAUGAUCAUGAUCAUAUCCAUAAACAGAAAAAGCAUUUAACAAAACCCUAGAUCAUUUCUGAUAAAAAUACUCGAUAAACUAGGAAUAGAAGGAAACCUUCCUUCACUUGAUAAUGGGUAUUUGUGAAAAACCCGCAUGUGACAUCAUGCUUGGUGGUAAAAAUGAAUGCUUUCUUCCUAAGAUCAAGAACAAGAGAACAUCUCCUCUCACCACUUCUAUUCAAGACAGUGUUUGAAGGUCUAGCCAGGGAAAUUAGAAAAAAUAAAGCGAAUCCAAAUUAGAAAAAAAAAAUAAAAGCUACCUUUAUUCUCAGAUAACAUUGUCUUGCAUAUAGAAAAUCCUAAGUAUCCACUAAAAAUUAUAAGAAAUAACCAGUGAUAGGUCAAUUAGCUGCUUUCGGGAAGCCUUAGGCGACAGGAGACUCCUGGACCCAGCACCUGCUCACUGUGCCUGUCCACCUUUGGCUACUGCAGCUGAUACCCCAGUGGGCUAAGAUUGGACAGGAGCCACCAGGGACCCAGCAAGUCCUUCAGCUCUGUUUUUGAAACAUGAAUCCUUCACUCUUCCUGGCUGCCUUUUGCCUGGGAAUUGCCUCAGCUGCUCUAACACGUGACCACAGUUUAGAUGCACAGUGGAUCAAGUGGAAAGCAAAGCAUAAGAAAUUAUAUGGCAUGAAUGAAGAAGGAUGGAGGAGAGCAGUGUGGGAGAAGAACAUGAAGAUGAUUGAGCAGCACAAUCAAGAAUACAGUCAAGGGAAACACAGCUUCACAAUGGCCAUGAACGCCUUUGGAGACAUGACCAAUGGAGAAUUUAGGCAGGUGAUGAAUGGUUUUCAAUACCAGAAGCACAGGAAGGGGAAGGAGUUCCAGGAACAUCUUCUUCUUGAGAUCCCCACAUCUGUGGACUGGAGAGAGAGAGGCUACGUGACUCCUGUGAAGAAUCAGGGUAUGUGUGGCUCUUGUUGGGCUUUUAGUGCAACUGGUGCUCUGGAAGGGCAGAUGUUCUGGAAAACAGGCAAACUUAUUUCACUGAGUGAGCAGAAUCUGGUAGACUGCUCUUGGCCUCAAGGCAAUGAGGGCUGCAACGGUGGUUUCAUGGAUAAUUCCUUCCGGUAUGUUCAGGAGAACGGAGGCCUGGACUCUGAGGCAUCCUGUCCAUAUGAAGGAAAGGUUAAAACCUGUAGGUACAAUCCCAAGUACUCUGUUGCUAAUGACACUGGCUUUGUGGACAUCCCUUCACGGGAGAAGGACCUGGCGAAGGCAGUGGCAACUGUGGGGCCCAUCUCUGUUGCUGUUGAUGCAAGCCAUUUCUCCUUCCAGUUCUACAAAAAAGAAAUUUAUUUUGAGCCACGUUGUGACCCUGAAGGCCUAGAUCAUGCUAUGCUGGCGGUUGGCUAUGGCUAUGAAGGAGCAGACUCGGAUAACAAUAAAUAUUGGCUGGUGAAGAACAGCUGGGGUAAAAACUGGGGCAUGGAUGGCUACAUAAAGAUGGCCAAAGACCGGAGGAACAACUGUGGAAUCGCCACAGCAGCCAGCUACCCCACUGUGUGAGCUGAUGAAUGGUGAUGAGGAAGAACUUGACUGAGGAUGGCACAUCCAGAGGAGGAAUUUAUCUUCAGUCUACCAGCCCCUGCUGUGUGGAAUGCACACUUCAAUCAUUGAAGAUCCAAGUGUGAUUGGAAUUCUGAUAUUUUCACACUGGUAAAUGUUACCUCUAUUUUAAUUACUGCUAUAAACAUGUUUGUAUUAUUGGUUCACUUACUUUGUAUUUUCAUUUUUAAAAGAUAUACACAUUUUUACCUGUUUA